UAGUUUUGUAAAUAAACAGGUCAAUACAAGUUGAAGCUUGAAGCACGUUUUUGACACUUUGACAGUGAUUGACAGUUAAUAAUACUUGAAUUUAUUAUUAAAUAAAAAUAUUUAUUAGUCACUGAUAAAUAAACAGUUUAUAAAAUUUAAUGACAACCGAUAAAAAGUUAAUAAUUAUCAUUAAAAAUUUGUAACGUUGAAGACAAAUUUUCCAUUGUGCCUUUAUCAUAAAUAAAUAAAUUUUUGUGAUAUAAAAUAAUUUAAUUACUCCAUCUUUCAAUGUUAUUUAUUUAAGCAAUAUAAUUAUCAUUAAAUUAUAAACAGUGUUAACAAAAUGAACAAACAACCAAUAGUUAUUAAUACUGAAUUUUCUCAGUUAAAAUCAUCACUCAAUUGCUCAUCAGCUGUUCCUGAUGACAAUCAAUUUAAAAAGACCAGGAAAAAAAGACGCAGGGAAGAUGACAUUAGCCCUGAUGAAUUUAAUUGUUCUUCUUCUGUUAUUAUUUACGAAAUUGACUGUGCUGAUUUCAAGAAGCCCAGGAUAAAUUAAUUAGUACAACAUUCAACAUUUCUUUUUUGUGUUUUUUUUUUAAUUCUAUAAUCUACACUGAGUUGAGUUCAAAAAAAAAAAAAGUAUUUUAUUUCUAUGAAAAUAAUAAUUUAAUUUAUGAUUAACAAUUAAAAAUAUUAUCACACAAUAACCUUGAUGGUUAAUUGUCUUGAUAAUAAAUCAUUAAAAUUUAUUUGUUAUAGGUAUGUGUUCUUUAAUUGUUCAUUAAAAUAAACAAUUAUAUAUUAAUUUAAUUAACAAAUUGACUAAUAAAUAAAUUAGUAAACAUAA
Molecule: long non-coding RNA, 841 nt
Organism: Aphidius gifuensis
Lineage: Eukaryota; Metazoa; Arthropoda; Insecta; Hymenoptera; Braconidae
Exons: 3
Source: RefSeq, a predicted model, not a curated record